CACAUAGGCUGCUAAACACCAGCUGCUCCUAGUGACUCAGAUCUGUGACCUUUGAUCAAUUUAUCUUGUCCUGAUUAACCAAUUUCUAUACUGGAGGGAGGAUGUACUUACAUUUCUUUGUAAGUAUAAAUAUUGAGCAAACAUCUUCUGCAUUUCUGUGCAGUACAAACCUGUGUCUUCAGUGUGUCUUGUAACAACUUCUGUAAAUGAGGCUAGUUUGUUAUAACUGCAAACUAACCUUCUUCCUUUCCAUUUCCCAAAUUCUAUCAAGGACAACAUUAGCAAAGUUUUAUUCUGAAACUAAGAUACUGAUAGGUUGGAAUUGAAGCUGUGUAACUGAACUGGGCUAUUUUUCUUUCUAUUUUUUGAGCACCCAUUUUCUUCUAAUUUUGUUUAAAUGCAUUGAUUUUUUCUUUGGAUUGAUCAAGGAAGGAAAAUAUAAAAAUUAAGCAGUUAUGCUGUGGUGAAUUUAACCUGCUUCUUUUUAGAAAGUAAGACACUUUAUUUUUUGUUCAUUAGAUCUCUCUCUGAGUGGAGAGUUUUUGACUUUUGUUGGAAUUUUUUAGACCUGCAGAUGUAUCUAAUGAACAUGGAGAUCCCUGUGCAAUUACAUUACCAAUUUCCUUCAGAAGCCAUGGAUCAUGACCAAGAAAUACGUCUAUGGAGCAUAAUACAUAAGAGACAGGUAGACAAUGAUUGCUACAUAUAUGUGCAUCUGCUGGGUGAUUGAGCCUGUGCAAUCGUCUGUGUUUCUGCAUAGCUCUUCAGCGGAGAGGCCUUUGAGAAACCUUCCUCCCAGCAUGCUGCUCAUUAACCAGAGGCUCUCCCCAGGGAUCAGGUGGGCUUCUGAAGGUGACUCAGUAAGUCCUGCAAAUGAAGACUAGUAGUCCACCAUCAACAUGCCUGCUAGGAUGUCUUUAAAAGUUUGGCGGCAGAGGCAGCUUCAGUAGACACCAAUUAAGUGCAGGGAAAGAAUAAAACUCCCUUUGGAAUCUGCGUUUAAAAACA
RNAcentral lists this long non-coding RNA (1008 nucleotides) under Anas platyrhynchos platyrhynchos (common mallard). Its description in RNAcentral is "lncRNA (ENSAPLG00000019656.1)". Lineage: Eukaryota; Metazoa; Chordata; Aves; Anseriformes; Anatidae. The record is from RNAcentral.